UCUACGGGUGGCAGCAGUGAGGAAUAUUGGUCAAUGGGCGGGAGCCUGAACCAGCCAAGCCGCGUGAGGGAAGAAGGUACAGCGUAUCGUAAACCUCUUUUGUCAGGGAACAAAGGCGGGGACUAGUCCCCGUAUGCGGGUACCUGAAGAAAAAGCAUCGGCUAACUCCGUGCCAGCAGCCGCGGUAAUACGGAGGAUGCGAGCGUUAUCCGGAUUUAUUGGGUUUAAAGGGUUGGCAGGCGGCCUGUUAAGUCAGCGGUAAAAGGCCGGGGCUCAACCCCGCCGAGCCGUUGAAACUGGCGGGCUGGAAUGCGGAUGCCGUGGGAGGAAUGUGUGGUGUAGCGGUGAAAUGCAUAGAUAUCACACAGAACACCGAUUGCGAAGGCAUCUCACGAAUCCGCGAUUGACGCUGAUGCACGAAAGCGUGGGUAUCAAACAGGAUUAGAUACCCGGGUAGUC
RNAcentral lists this ribosomal RNA (459 nucleotides) under uncultured bacterium. RNAcentral describes it as "partial 16S ribosomal RNA". It matches the Rfam family "Bacterial small subunit ribosomal RNA", at positions 338 to 795 of the family's 1533-position model. The record is from RNAcentral.